Molecule: long non-coding RNA, 319 nt
Filed under: Pogona vitticeps (central bearded dragon)
Lineage: Eukaryota; Metazoa; Chordata; Lepidosauria; Squamata; Agamidae
Description: lncRNA (ENSPVIG00000008688.1)
Source: RNAcentral
UAUAGAGUGCAUUAUAAAAAUUCUCUGCUAUUGGUUUAGGAUAAAGUACAUACCUGACCUCACACAGGGUCAUACAAAACAGAAAACGUCAGCGAAUAAUCCAAUAUCUGGAGAAAGACCUUCUAAUCUCAAUUGAAGGCUGAGCCAAAUACAGAGGCAGGACCUAAUCUUUCAACUGAGGAUGAUUACCAAGUGGAAGAAGGUGCACCACCCAGAACUACCCAGCUUGCAACCAGAGAAGCAUCUUUAAAUAGAAGGCUUCUGCGUCCUUCUCCUGCAUCCAUUCUUCAGCCUCCAUCCAUCCACCAGGGACGUUGAG